GGGGUCGUGGCCUAGUCCGGUAUGGCGACGGGCUCCAGACCCGUUGGAGCGCUGAUGCAAAGAUAUCCGCUCACA
RNAcentral lists this transfer RNA (75 nucleotides) under Methanocalculus sp. MSAO_Arc2. RNAcentral's name for it is "tRNA-Trp". The record is from RNAcentral. Lineage: Archaea; Methanobacteriati; Methanobacteriota; Methanomicrobia; Methanomicrobiales; Methanocalculaceae.